This 119-nucleotide ribosomal RNA is filed under the name Olea europaea subsp. europaea. The record is from RNAcentral. Lineage: Eukaryota; Viridiplantae; Streptophyta; Magnoliopsida; Lamiales; Oleaceae.
GAGUGCGACCAUACCAGCACUAACGCACCGGAUCCCAUCAGAACUCUGAAGUCAAGCGUGCUUGGGCAAGAGUAGUACUAGGAUGGGUGACCCCCUGGGAAGUCCUCUUGUUGCACCCA